Long non-coding RNA from Ornithodoros turicata, 930 nucleotides. RefSeq lists it as uncharacterized. The record is from RefSeq and is a predicted model, not a curated record. The transcript has 3 exons. NCBI's taxonomy places the organism in Eukaryota, Metazoa, Arthropoda, Arachnida, Ixodida, Argasidae.
AAACUUUCCUCUGGGACUCAUGGUACGACAGCAUUGGCGACAAAGAUGGGAUCGGUUCGCAGGCAGGUAGACGGAUAUUGUCCACCGCAACAAGUUUUCAGAUCUCUCUCCCCCCCCCAGCAAUGGAGUUGCCCAUAAGAAGAUAACCUCCCUACCGCCCCGCUUCCAACGGCGAAGUGCCUUCCAGACAGAAUACCCAUGUCUAGUAACUGACAAAACCCCGUCAGAGCUAUCUCAGGGGACACGAAUGAGCCACCUCCACCCGGACCUUCACGAAAGACUGGAAGCUAAGGAAAUGGUGGACAGCAGAUGAAACAAGAGGACCCUGGAGAGGAUUCCAAGCAGGUGAUGGCGUGAGAAUAAAGGUAGUUGACCCGGUGAUCCUGCAUAGCUACCGGGAAGGAUACUCAAAAGGAUCAGCCCUGCUGCGUAUACAGUAAGAAUAACUAACGAAAAACAAUUUUUGCGUGUAGAUGACAUUGCAGGGUUCCACGAAACUAACCAGACUAUGGCUCUUCCAACACCAUUUGUAAAGUCUUGAUGAGAUCGAGGACCAGGCUCUUGUUCCUAACGAUAGUAACGUCCAGUGGCACGCAAUUUCCCACAACCAACAUCUAGGAAGGACACCUUUCAAAACGUACAAGCGCCGUCUCAAGCAAUCUACAGAUCAUGACCAGUGUAUGGACCUCCCUGAAAACAGCGGCCCUGUUGCUUUGCGAAGAAGCACACUGACAAGACGUCCGCCUGAACGUUAUGGUGUGGUUUGAUUUAAGGGGGAGGAAUGUUGUGAUAAGGUGUUACCAUGUAGCGAGACUUCUGUGAUAACGUUGUAUCGCUUGGGACGUUUGGUGACAGAACAUGCGGGUAACGCAGCGCCACCCUCCUGUAUAAAGGCACAGCCCUAUCGAAUAAAGACGUUAUUUCACUUGC